Molecule: non-coding RNA, 21 nt
Organism: Caenorhabditis elegans
Lineage: Eukaryota; Metazoa; Nematoda; Chromadorea; Rhabditida; Rhabditidae
Source: Ensembl
UAUAGGCGGCCUCUUAAUUAA